Molecule: small RNA, 936 nt
Filed under: Histoplasma capsulatum var. duboisii H88
Lineage: Eukaryota; Fungi; Ascomycota; Eurotiomycetes; Onygenales; Ajellomycetaceae
Description: Histoplasma capsulatum H88 hypothetical RNA
Source: RNAcentral
UACAUUCUUGGGAUUUGCGAUUAUGUAUAGUCUUUGCCUUGCUGAUAAGCUUGGAUAUUGGUUUAAUCUCCCGGUCGUGAGGUGUUGCAUCUAAGGGGCACCUUGCCUUCUCCCAAAGUUCCAUUGUCAACAACUUUCUUUCUACACGCCCUUCUAUGUCGUUAGCCUUUCUGCUAAACUCUCACCCUCCAAAACUUUUACUGUCACUGGGUCUUCUUGUCAUUACUCUACACCUCCUGGAUUAAGUAUGCGUCUUAAGCGUGACGAAAUCACGUCACCUCUCGAGUCCCAGAAUGAGGUGCUUUUGUCAUGUCUUCCUUCACCCGUCGGCCAAAAAUGGCUUGAUUUCCCUCGAGGAUCAGGAAAUUGAAAAUCUCGUGUACGAUAUAAUAACUUUGGUCCAUGACGGUUCAACCGACAAAAAAACUUAAGGCCCAAGCCCGGAAGGAUUGAAUUGCAUGGGAAUAAUGGGAUAUGGGGCCAGAGGAAGUAGUGCACUACCGCACGUCCUAUUUCAGGAGUAUGCUGCUAGAUGAUGGGACUGUUCAAACGGAUGACAAGGAGAUCGCGGGUAAUUCUGGCUCCCAUUAGUGUAUUGCAUUUUCAUUGGUUUUAAAAUCGUCUGUUCCAACAUGUCAGGUGGAGGACUGGCUAUGCUAAGAUUCUUGGUUUCUAGUGAGGAUGGGUUAAAACUGUGGAUGAAAUUCAUGCUGCAUGAUCCCCCCCUUCGGGACUUGGGUAUCCAACUUAAUGAAUGCAUAGAUUCCACAUCAUCCACUAUAGACGAUGAUUAAGGCUGUUGUUUUUGAAGCUGACCCUCUAUCAAGCCAAAGAGAUCCUGACCUUCCUAAGAUGAUGUCGGCCGCCACCGCCGGGGAACCCGCGCAAGUGGAGAAGCGCGGACAUUCUUUCUAGUCAGGCGAAAAAGAUCUUGCC